RNAcentral lists this ribosomal RNA (253 nucleotides) under uncultured bacterium. Its description in RNAcentral is "partial 16S ribosomal RNA". It matches the Rfam family "Bacterial small subunit ribosomal RNA", at positions 524 to 776 of the family's 1533-position model. The record is from RNAcentral.
GACGAAGGGGGCUAGCGUUGUUCGGAAUUACUGGGCGUAAAGGGCGCGUAGGCGGUCUUUUAAGUCAGGCGUGAAAGCCCUGGGCUCAACCUGGGAGUGGCGCUUGAUACUGGGAGACUAGAGAGUGGGAGAGGUUGGUGGAAUUCCCAGUGUAGAGGUGAAAUUCGUAGAUAUUGGGAAGAACACCGGUGGCGAAGGCGGCCAACUGGACCAUUUCUGACGCUGAGGCGCGAAAGCGUGGGGAGCAAACAGG